RNAcentral lists this unclassified non-coding RNA (459 nucleotides) under Hevea brasiliensis (rubber tree). The record is from RNAcentral. Lineage: Eukaryota; Viridiplantae; Streptophyta; Magnoliopsida; Malpighiales; Euphorbiaceae.
CUGAACUUCCAGAGUUGGUAGUUUGUUACAGGGAUAGUGCUUACCAUAUUGUCAAGGACAUCUGCAUUGAUGAGGGUGUCCCCUCCCAGGACAGGUUCUUGUUUGACCCUGGUGUAAGUGAGGAGAAUCUGUGCACGAUUCUACCUCCUGAGGACAUAAAUAGUGAGAUAGCAAAAGAAAGGGUUAACCUAGAUGCCUUUAUUCCAGAUGAUAUGAAACCUUCAGCAAAAAAAGAAAAAUCGACUCUUUAUUUGCCUAUUCCUGAUGUUCUAAUAUCUACUGAAGAAAAGGGUUCCAAAAAUGAAUUUUCUCUUGAAUGUGAUUCCAAGAAGUUGAUCCCAGUAGGGGAGACAGAGGUUGAUUCAAAAGAGGAAAUUGCAAAUGUUGCAUCUAAAGAGAUUUUUUCAUUUGGGCAAUUGCUUUCAACGCCAGAGGUGGGCACAGAGCUUUCACAACCCG